UACGUAGGGUGCGAGCGUUAAUCGGAAUUACUGGGCGUAAAGCGUGCGCAGGCGGUUCGUUAUGUCCGUUGUGAAAGCCCCAGGCUCAACCUGGGAACUGCGUCCGAUACUGGCAGGCUUGAAUCCGGGAGAGGGAUGUGGAAUUCCAGGUGUAGCGGUGAAAUGCGUAGAUAUCUGGAGGAACACCGGUGGCGAAGGCGGCAUCCUGGACCGGUAUUGACGCUGAGGCGCGAAAGCUAGGGGAGCAAACGGG
Molecule: ribosomal RNA, 253 nt
Filed under: uncultured bacterium
Lineage: Bacteria
Description: partial 16S ribosomal RNA
Rfam family: Bacterial small subunit ribosomal RNA
Source: RNAcentral